Molecule: ribosomal RNA, 482 nt
Filed under: uncultured bacterium
Lineage: Bacteria
Description: partial 16S ribosomal RNA
Rfam family: Bacterial small subunit ribosomal RNA
Source: RNAcentral
AUUGAACGCUGGCGGCAUGCUUUACACAUGCAAGUCGAACGGUAACAGGCCGCAAGGUGCUGACGAGUGGCGAACGGGUGAGUAAUGCAUCGGAACGUGCCCAGUCGUGGGGGAUAACUACUCGAAAGAGUAGCUAAUACCGCAUACGAUCUAUGGAUGAAAGCGGGGGACCGUAAGGCCUCGCGCGAUUGGAGCGGCCGAUGUCAGAUUAGGUAGUUGGUGGGGUAAAGGCUCACCAAGCCAACGAUCUGUAGCUGGUCUGAGAGGACGACCAGCCACACUGGGACUGAGACACGGCCCAGACUCCUACGGGAGGCAGCAGUGGGGAAUUUUGGACAAUGGGCGCAAGCCUGAUCCAGCAAAGCCGCGUGCAGGAAGAAGGCCUUCGGGUUGUAAACUGCUUUUGUACGGAACGAAACGGCUCUGGUUAAUACCCGGGGCUAAUGACGGUACCGUAAGAAUAAGCACCGGCUAACUACGUG